UAGGGUUUUGAGGAUGUUGGAGAAGUUGUUGCUGGACAUAUCAAAGGCCCUUUUGAGAGUGGACAUGAGAUGGGGAGGGAGGCCAUUGGUGGUAUGGUAGUGAGGUGGGAGUUCAGGCAAGUCAUCAUGUGGAAGAUGGAGUUCCACAAAUUCAAUGCAAUGAGAAUAUUUUUGGGAGAGUUUAGGCUUGAUGGAGCUGAGAUUUACAGGCGUGGAACAAAUAAAGAUGUGAAAAUUUCUCUUGGUGGUCAGCUUCUUGGCUAGCUCUAGGUAGGGAGAUAUAUGGCCGUGAGCUAGCCAUGGAAGCAUAAGAAUAGUAAGUUUUCUUUGGUCAGAGUAAACCAUAUUUUGUUUUCCUUUCACUCUUUUGCUUGAGGUUGCUCGAUUAUAGGCUUAUUGGUAGUUUUUUUGUAGCUAGCUCUAUGCAUAUAUAUAUAUAUAUACACACACAUUCAUGGGAAAAGAGGCUUGGGGAUGGGAAAUCAAUUGAUUUCCUAUGUUUGGUAAAGUUCGGGUAUGAGAAAUCGUUGCUUUGCACAUGAGAAAGUAGAGGGGAAAGUGAAGCCCUCCUCCUUCCUUAGGUUUUGUUUUCCUCCUCAUGGGAAAGUUUGGGAAAAUGAGCUAAUAUUAAAUACAUAUUUUUCAUGACCAUAUUAUCCCCAUUAAUAAUUUAGAAUUACAUAAAUGCAUUCUAUUUUUAUUUGAUUUCAUAUGGGUAUAAUUGAAAAAUUAAACAAAUUUUGUUUUACAUUCCUACACAAACCAAACAUGUGAAAGGAAAUAAAGUGGUAUUUCUUGGUUACUUUCCCAAGAUUACCAAACAUAGGAAAGGAAUCUCUAUUUCCCAUCCCUUAGAAAAUGACUUGGAAAGUAAUUUCUCCUCAAAUUCGUUCCGUGAACCAAACGGAACCUGCAUAAUAGAAGUUCCAAAAAAACACGUGAUGAUUGGAUCAUGCAUAUGUAAGUUCCCGAGUGAUGAUUGGAACAAGUUCCUAAUGAUAAAGACUCGAAACAAGAAUAGUUUAAACUUUCUUCUUUGUUUGGCUUGAUAUAAGACGAAUGCACCAAACAAACCGACUAAUUGCUGGCACAAUAUAAAUUGGGGCUACAAUUACCUAAUAAUUAGGUACUAAGGGCUACAAUUACCUAAUAAUAUCAACUUUCAUUAUACAGAUUUGAGAAACAAAAAGUUCAACUUUGAUGACAAGCGAUAUUAAAGGAGGGCGUAAUCAAACUUAGGAUCUUGAGUGUAGAAAUAAAUACUUUUAACAACUUGAGCUACAAGCCUUUUGUAAUAUUAAUGAUAUUUUAAUUAUACGUUUGAAUAGUUCGCUUCCUUCUCUUUUAUUUUCAUUUGUUUAUAUUUAACUCUAAUUUUAUUUAUAUUUUUGGUCAAGGUAAAAAGACUUUGAAUCUCUCUCCAAUGAUUUUCACAGCCGAAACUCCUUUAGUUUCCACAAAUAUUUUUUAAUAUUUCAUGCAUUUGUAAGUUUCCGACUCGGAUGGUUCAUGUAACCAAGAAGUUUAAACUUGUUUUUGCUUGUUCCGCCGACGAAAGCGCAACAAAAGGACAAACUACAACCAAUACUUCUAGUAUCACCAGUUCUCAUUGAAUUUGUUGCCGUGAAUGUUUAGGAUUCUGCCCAAACUAGUAUUUGCGUUUCUGAAUUGUUUGAAAACACAUAUGAAAUUAUGAUUUCUCCUCCCCAGAAGACAAAUUGACGAAGAAGUAUCAUGAUUUUGAUGACACAAAUUAGAAUCCAGGGUUUUCGAAGUGCCUAAUGGACAACUAUUAAUUUAGAAAUAUAUAUAUUUUUUUCGCAAUGCAGAAACACAUAAAUCCCAAGUUUGAAUUCAUCCUAUUUUUGUUUUUGUUUUUUCCUUUUUUAACCCAGAAGAAAAAUUGAGUGCCACUCUGCUAUGUAGAAUGCAAGUUUUAGUUUAGAUUUUUUUUUCUUUUUAGUCUCUUAUUCUACAUUUAGAUCUCAUAUAUUUACUCGCAUUUUAUUAAAUCUAAGUCAUUCAAACAAUCUGACCACUUAACAAAUUACAAGUACUCAAACUUAAAAUCAGAUUGGAUGGACAUGAGGCUUACACUGAUGAUUCUACACGUGCUGAGAAUAGUCCUUUUAUUUCUUUAUUAUUUUCUUGGUCGGGACUCGAGAGACAGGUGUAGUGUAGCGAUGGAGACGAGGCCCGCAAGACAUAAAAGUCUGAAGAAGAGAAGCGUGAAAGCUUCAUUUAGACAGUUAAGUGCAUACGUAACGUAAAGAUUCAAAGACUAUGUCCCUCUCCAAACAGGGAAAGAUCUGAGUUGAAAGCAACAAACUACAGUCACAAUAGGAAAGCAUCUACAACGUAAAGAAAAUAAGUUUACCAGAAGCAUCGGAAAGAUCUAGAGUCUGAAGAAGAGAUACUGAAGUAAUUGUUCAUCGACUGAGCUUAAAUGAAAUAUUAACUCUUUGUUGUGCCAUAAGCACAAGAUCUUAAGAAAAAAAUUCAAGAUAAACCAUAUAAUAUUUUCUAACCCACAAAAUAAUAUAGAAAAUAAAUGCAAGAACAAGAGAAUAGCAAGACACAACGAGGCUGCUUACAAUCAGUGUAAAUGAGCAAACAAAUUCACCAUCAACAAAUUAGCAUGCUUAUGAAGUGUUUUGCAACCUCACAAACCAAGGCGCCAUAUACACCAAAUGACUCUCACUGAAAAACUAAACAAAGAAACACACUCACACUAAUGAAAGCAACGUUACAAGGUAGGAGAUUGAAUAUUACAUUUACAAUACACUCAUAAGUUACAAAAACUAAUUACAAAUAUUUAGCGCAUAGGUUACAUAGAACUGAAAGGGUGGAAUGAUAAGAGCUAUGGUGGUCAUCCACCAACUCAUGCAUUUACAACACCGCCUCUUGAAUGUCCACCAUACAAUACAAUGAUAUAGUUGCGUCAUUAAACACUUUGCUUGAAAAACUAUAUGGGACAAAACUUAGGCUACGGGAAAAAGAGUGCAACACAAAUAAUAUUGAUAUCACAUUUGUCUCUCCUACGGAAUGAGCUUUGGUGAUGUUUGUAUAAAAAUUGCGUACAAACCAUUAUUGGAAGAUUGGGCUAGAGUGGGCUUUACCCUAGUGUUGACUUUGGAAAGAGACAAAUUAGGCUUAGUUGUGUAAAUUCAAUCCAAAAAAAAAUUAAAUAAUAGCCCACAUCUACAGCCAAAUACUUUAAUACUUUAAUUACUAAAGUUUUUUUUUCUUUCUCUCUCUUCUUUGGUUUAUUCAGCUUUUGAUUUGGCUCAAAUAAUGUUUAUAUCUCUCUUUGAUUUUGUUUUUUCAAAUUUAUUGAUGUUGCUUCUUUUGAAAAUUUUGAAAUAUGGACCCUCCCUAACUAAACCACUCCAUUGAGCAAAAGCCCUUGAGCUUCAAAUUUAUCUUCGUCUGAGCCUCUGAAUUUUGGUUUUUUUUAGGUUUUUUUUGUUUGUUGUAGGUUUCUUUGUUCACAUAUCUCUCUAAAAAUAGUAUUUUUCUUAAUGAAUUCUGAAAAUAGUUUUUAAUUUGAAGGAAAUAUACGGAAUUAGUAAAAAAGUAUACCACUUUCAUUAAUCUGAAGGAAAUAUUGCUUUAUAUAUAUUUGUUUAAAAAUAGGGCUUAUAAUUGAUCUCAAAAAAAAAAAAAAAACAAAUAGCCCACCCCUGUAAAUAUUCCUUAGUCCGCCAUUGCAUGGCAUAAUAUUUGGUAUGCUAUGCUAGCAUCUCAUAAGCUCUUCAAGAGACCUGAAUUUUAUGAUAACUUCUUAAAAAAUUUGAAUACAUUUCAACGAUAUUAAACUUGAAUUUGAACUCAUAAUUCAAUCAAAGUACUCAUUGAGGCAAUUUAGAUCAUUUUCAUUUUAAAAAAAUUGGGUGCACACAUUGAGCUUCAUGCUCUUUACCUUCUUAGAGAUUUUAUUUGAGGAAUUUAUAUUGCAUCACAUAUUACAUCUCUUAGGAUUUGUUCUUAUUAUGUAUUCUUUAAGAGAUCUAUUCUUGCAAUAUGCUUCAAACACUUCAUAAUCUUUAUGAAUUUUUCAUGUAGAUUUAAGGUCUCCAUGAAUAUUGAGAUUGAAACAAGGAGUAAAAGAGUUAAAAGUUUAAGAAAUUUUUUCCCUGAUUAUUUUGUAAUUAUAAUGUUGGUGAAAAUCCAAUUUCCUUUCUAGAAUUUGUGAAAUUUGUUAUUUGGCUAAGCUAAAAGUAUAAUUUUGACAAUAAAAAGCAUAUGAAAGUUUCUCUUUGGUUGGCUUCUUGGCUAGCUCUAGGAACGGACAGUGUGGCCAUGAGAUAACCAUGGAAGUAUAAUAAGAAUGCUUGGAUGCUGUGAACAAUCCAUUUUCUGACUCUUUUUCUUGAGGUGGUUGUUUUCUUAUGGCCCAUCAGAGUUUAUGGUCGACAGAUAAGCUUCAAACACAUGCAUUGGUCGUGUCAGUUGCGAUAAACUCUUCCCAACAAUCAACAAUUUCUAAGGUAAUAUCAUCAUUCAAUCAUGUGCUGAAUUUAGAAUUGUUUUCAAAUCAAGGAUUUGUUUUGGAACUCAGAUUUUAAAACAAUUAAAAUUUAAUUGGGAAGACUUUUUGUUUAAAGGAAGUUCGUUUCAAUUCAAAAAAUAAUUUUUCAGUUUUUCAACUCAAAAGUCUUCUCAGUUUUCUUAUUUUUCUUAUUGGCGAGUUUCUUGGUUAACUCUAGGAAGGGAGAUAUGUGGCCAUGAGCUAACCAUGGAAGCAUAAGAACGCUGACCAUGCUUGGAUUUUGAGAAGACUUCCUCUUUUUUUUUUCCCUGACUCUUCUUCUUGAGGCGGUGGUUGGCUUAUGGCCUCAUAAUAGUUUGGUGUUUUUGGAGAUCAUAUGGUGAUGAUCUGAUGGAGAUGAGUCAUAGUUUGUGCUAGUGCAUACGUAAUUCCAAUUUCCUGAUUCAGAUGGGAUAAACUCUUCCAACAAAUUAAGACUCUUAUCAUGCAUACACAUAAGAAGUGGAAAUUUGCUUCUGUCUUAGUUUGGCCUUGAUAUAGGACAGCUCAUAGGAAAGCAUCCAAAACAAUAUUCUUUUUAUUUUUUUUAUUUGAAUACAAGCGAUAUUAGGAGUGUGGGGAUUUGAACACAUGAUUUAGGGUACAGGGUAAUGCUCUUAACUAUAUGAGUUACAAGUCCCUUGCAAACAGUCUGAAAUACUAAAAAUAAAAAAUAGAUGCUCAUCCAUAUGCACUGUCAUGCCCCAACCCUUGGAUUUACAAAACCUUGUGUUAAGACGUGAUUCACACCUUAAUUAUAGAAUUUAAUAAAAACUAUAACUAAAAUGUGAAGAAAACAUUUAAAUAAAUAAAAUAAAUAUUUCACAUAGAAUAUUCAGUGGAAAUGACAACAUGUGAAAUCUUAAAAAUUUUACAUUAUCUUACAAGUUGGCGUGACUUGUGGAUAUUGACUUACUUUCCUUACACACCAAGAAUUCCUAUUAUAAUUGUAAUUGAUUUACUUUAAUUCAUGAUUUCCUACUGUAAAUAGAUUUAAGAAUUUAUUAUUUACUUGCCCAUUCAGGUUUCGUUGUAUUAUAAAUAUGACCUCCUACAAGGAGAAGAACAUACAGAAAAUUCCCACAAACAAAUAUUCUCUCAUAGUUUUCAUAUUUUAGCAUGGUAUCAGAGCGGCAAUCUUGGAAUUGCUGACUCUAGUUUCAAACCCCCGCCGCCGCUAUGGGGGUUGAUGAUUUUUUCAACCAUCAUGGAGGUAGCACCAUCGACUCCUUCUCUCAUUCUCAACUAACCAUCGUUGAGUUGAGUGCCCAGAUGGCUCCGCUCCUACAGAUGCAGACUUUGACCCCAAACCCGAUCCAGAAUCAGGAUCUUCUUUCGACAACCACGACCCCGAUCUCGACUAUGACAACGACGACCCCGACCCCUACUCUGAAGAUGACCCCGACCCCCACUCCGAUGACCCCAACCCCGAAUUUGUCUCUGAUUCAGAACCCGAUCCCGAUUUCGACUCCGACUCCGGCCUCGACUCAGGCUCAGAUUUCGAUCCAAAUUCCUACUCAACUUAUAUCCUAUGCAUCUUCCGCUGCACAGAUUAUGACUUCUAGACUAACGACCCCGACAUAUGGACCAGAUUGCACAUAUUGUGGUGAUCCGAGACACACUUGUGAGACUUGUUUUAAAUCGCAUGGCUACCCCGAUUGGUGGGCUAUUCUUACAGAUCAAGGACAAUGCACCAGUAAUGGUACUGGUUAUGGAUUCCAUACUUCCGAUAAGAUUGAUUCCAGGAGCUGGAUAAUUGAUUCUGGUGCAACUGAUCAUAUGACGUUUGAUCCUGAUGAUUUUCUGAAUACUACACAACCUCGACGAACUUGUAUUGCAAAUGCCAAUGGUGUUACUUAUCCUGUGACAGGGGCUGGCACUGUUGCACUCUCAUCCUCUCUCACACUGUCUAAUACUUUACUUGUUCCAUUUUUAUCCACUAAAUUGUUGUUAGUUAGUCAGCUUACUAAACAAUUGAAGUGUUGUGUACUCAUUUACCUGAGUUUUUGUUUGCUUCAGGAUAUUCACACUAAGGAGAUUCUUGGUCGUGGUACUAAGAGAGGGGGGCUAUAUUAUGUCGAUGACUUCAGUUCCGGCGUGCCUAACAGUGUGACACAUCCCUUUGAUAGCAAACAAAAGCAAAUUUGGUUGUGGCACCUUCGAUUGGGACAUCCGUCUUUCAGUUAUAUGAAGCAUCUUAUACCAGAUUUAUUCUUAGGUUUCAAGGACUCCGACUUCACAUGUGAUACUUGUAUUUUGGCUAACAGUCACCGUGUGCCCUACCUGUUGAGUACGAACAAGUGUACUUGUAAGAUCCCACAUCAACCAACGGAGAGGGGGUGAUGUGCCUUAUAUAUGCACACCUGCAUCCAUCUAGCACGAGGCCUUUUGGGAGCUCACUGGCUUCGGAGUCGUAGGAACUCCGAAGUUAAGCGAGUUGGGGGCUAGAGCAAUCCCAGGAUGGGUGAUCCACUGGGAAGUUGCUCGUGAGCUCCUAGAAACAAAACCGUGAGGGCAGAGAGAGGGGCCCAAAGCGGACAAUAUCGUGCUACGGCGGAGUUGAUCCCGAGAUGUGACAAUUUGGUAUCAGAGCCACUCUGCCGUGUGGUGCGAAUGUGCCGACGAGGACUUCGGGCCCUUAAGGGGGGUGGAUUGUAAGAUCCCACAUCAACCAACGGAGAGGGGGUGAUGUGCCUUAUAUAUGCACACCUGCAUCCAUCUAGCAUGAGACCUUUUGGGAGCUCACUGGCUUCGGAGUUGUAGGAACUCCGACGUUAAGCGAGUUGGGGGCUAGAGCAAUCCCAGGAUGGGUGACCCACUGGGAAGUUGCUCGUGAGUUCCCAGAAACAAAACCGUGAGGGCCAGAGAGGGGGGCCCAAAGCUGAUAAUAUCGUGCUACGGCGGAGCCGAUCCCGGGAUGUGACAAUUGUACUACUCCAUUUACGUUAAUUCACUCUGAUGUCUUGGGACCUUCGCCUAUCACUGCUCCUUCUGGUGUUCGAUGGUUUGUCACAUUCAUCGAUGAUUGUAUACAGAUGACAUGGCUUUAUUUGCUGAAGAAUAAAAACGAAGUGUUUUCCCGUUUUCAGUCCUUCCACAAACAGAUGAAAACUCAGUUUAAUGCUCAAAUCCAGAUUCUUCGCUCAGACAAUGGUGGAGAAUUUGUCAAUCAUGACUUUCAGACUUACUUCCAACAACAUGGAAUUAUCCAUGAGACGACUUGUCCUCAGACACCACAACAAAAUUGUGUUGUUGAACGAAAGAAUUGACAUCUUCUUGAAACCGCCCAAGCACUUCUGAUUGGCGCUCAUGUUCCUCGCUAUCACUGGGAUGAUGCUAUUGUCACCGCAGUUCACCUGAUCAACCGCAUGCCUUCUGGUGUAUUGACCUUUAAAACUCCCUUACAGGUGCUUGCGCAACACAGACCUCUGCUCUCUGUUUUGGUACUCACACCCCGAAUCUUUGGAUGUGUGGCUUUCGUUCAUCUCCACAAAAAUCAACGUAGCAAACUUGAUCCCUGUGCGCUUCGUUGUGUUUUUAUAGGUUAUGCCACUCAUCAGAAAGGCUACCGUUGUUAUCACCCUCCUACCCAACGAACCUAUGUCACUUUGGAUGUGACCUUUCUGGAAUCUGAGUUGUUCUUCCAUGACCCAUCAUCCAAUUCUACGCAUCAGGGGGGGAUACGAAGUGAAGAGCAGAAUUGAAGCAACUUGGGAAAUAAAGAAAUUUUCCUCUGUACAGAAAUGAUUAAUCAUCCUGAGUCUGGAGCACGAGAUUACUCUCUGUCGAAAAGCAACCAAUCGCCCAUUCAUAGCGAUCAAUUGCCUCACCUACCUGAUCCAUGUGAAGAUAUUUUUGAUCCGAGUCUCACACCUACAGACAAUACAGAACAACAAGAUGAAGACUCCCCCUCUAACUCAACAGUACCAACAGACCAAUCUCCUGAGAAUAUCCUUGAGGUAACUACUCCUACUAGAUUUGUGCAUUUAAAUGAUUAAACUAUUGGAUAUCAAUUACCUUUCAGGGAAAAUCGUGGGAAGCCAUCAAACCGUUAUGCACCUGAUAUUGGCAAGACAUCCAAGUAUCCAAUUGCAAAUCAUGUAUCCACUGAGAAGCUGUCUGAACAACUCAAGGCUUUUGUGCAUCAGUUGUCUGCGAUCCAUAUUCCAACCAAGGUCUCUGAAGCAUUAAAAUAUCCUAAGUGGGUCCAAGCUAUAAAAGAGGAGAUGAAAGCUCUUGAGAAAAAUCAGACUUGGACAUUAGAGACUAUACCUCGAGGAAAAAAGACUAUCAGAUGUAGAUGGGUGUUUACUAUAAAACACAAUGUAGAUGGAUCUAUCGAGCAAUACAAGGCAAGACUUGUGGAAAAAGGGUACACACAGACAUAUGGUAUAGACUAUGAAGAAACCUUUGCUCCAGUUGCAAAGUCAAACACCAUCAGAGUCUUAUUGUCCCUUGCAGCUAAUUUGGAUUGGCCACUACACCAGUUUGAUGUAAAGAAUGCUUUUCUACAUGGCGUACUCACGGAGGAGGUGUACAUUUACAUUCCUCCUGGAUAUAAUACUACUUAGACUGGAACAGUUUGCAGGUUACGAAAAGCAUUGUAUGGAUUGAAACAGUCACCACGUGCAUGGUUUGGACAGUUCACCAUGGCAAUGAAGAACAAUGGUUCAAACAGUGCAACUCAGAUCAUACUCUACUCUUGAAACAUCGAAAAGGGAAGGUAACAACAUUAAUAAUCUAUGUUGAUGAUAUGAUUAUUACUGGGAAUGAUAAACAGGAAAUAUCACAGCUACAAGACUAUCUGGCUACGGAGUUUGAGAUGAUGGAUCUAGGUGGACUCAAGUAUUUCUUGGGAAUUGAGGUGGCUCGAUCCCAGCAAGGCAUAUUUCUCUCUCAAAGGAAAUAUGUCUUGGACUUGUUGACAGACACAUGAAUGCUAGAUUGUAAACCUGCGAACACUCAUAUUGUUCAGAAUCAUCAUCUUGGAGAAUAUCAUGAUCAAGUUCCAACUAACAAAGAAAGAUACCAAAGGUUAGUAGGAAGAUUGAUCUAUUUGUCACAUACUUGACCAAACAUUACUUAUGCAAUGAGCGUUGUCAGUCAAUUUAUGCACUCUCCAAGUGAAGACCACACGAAUGCAGUUCUUCGGAUACUUAGAUAUUUGAAGUCUGCACCUGAAAAAGGACUUAUUUUCUGAAAGCAUGGUCAUAUAAAUAUUGAUGGUUAUUCAGAUGUAAUGUAACAGAUAGAAAAUCCACAUCCGGUUACUUAACAUUCAUGGGAGGUAAUUUGGUGACAUGGAGGAGCAAGAAACAGAAUGUAGUAGCUUUAUCCAGUGCAGAAGCCGAGUUCAGAGGCAUGACUAAAGGAAUUUGUGAACUUCUUUGGUUAAGAAAGUUGCUUACUGAACUUGGGUAUAAACCUACAUCCACAAUGAUUCUCUUUUGUGACAACAAGGCUGUUAUAGCCAUUGCACAGAAUCCGGUUCAGCAUGAUCGUACUAAACAUGUUGAGGAGGAUCGACACUUCAUCAAACAGAAGCUUGAGGCUAAAAUGUUUCAGUUUUCUUUUGUGAAAUCCGAGGAUCAAUUGGCGGAUAUUUUGACAAAGGUGAUUUCCAGUAAAACAUUCCACAAUUCACUGGAUCAGUUAGGCAUUGGCGAUAUCUAUGCACCAACGUGAGGGGAAGUGUUGGCGUGACUUGUGGAUAUUGACUUACUUUCCUUACACACCAAGAAUUCCUAUUAUAAUUGUAAUUGAUUUACUUUAAUUCCUGAUUUCCUAUUGUAAAUAGAUUUAGGAAUUUAUUAUUUACUUGCCCAUUCAGGUUUCGUUGUAUUAUAAAUAUGACCUCCUACAAGGAGAAUAACAUACAGAAAAUUCCCACAAACAAAUAUUCUCUUAUAGUUUUCAUAUUUUAGCAAGAACUACUCGAGAGUUUACUAAAAGAGUAGUUCAGUAUUCAUCCACAAGCUAUAUACACAAUACACUCUAUAGAUAUGCCAAAAUCAUCGCAAGCUCUAGAUUUUAGGUUCGAUACCUGCAAAAUCUAUUAGAAGGGUGAGUGAAACCACAGUUUAGUAGGGACAUAAACCUUUUCACGGUAAACUGAUAUAAUUAAAUUAAGUGAAAAAUAAUCACACAGCCAAAUAUCACAUUAUUAAUAACAAUGCAUGAAUGCUCUUCAUUUAACCCGUUAAUUCAUAUAAUUAGACAAGCUUCACGACCCAUACCAUGCUUAUACCACUUAGUCCCGAAUGCCAAUUUAUAUGAAUUAACGCCCAUUUCAAUCAUCCCAUAAUUCCCAUUUUGUUAGUCAUCUUGUCUAACUCCCUGUUGCCAGUCCUGAAUCACCAAAAAAAAAAAACCAUGUGCACUAUGGGAUCCCUGAGUACUAGUACCUGGCAAGAGUUAGACUCAACUACACAAAAGAUCAUUUCUAUUACCCUCUUAUCCACCAUUAUUUUCUCAACUUCAGAAUUCUAGCCAAAUUCCAUGACAUGAUAUAAUUAAAAUUAUGCCUUCACAACAAUGUGCCCAUUUAAAACAUCACUAAUGCACAUAUAAUUAUGCCCACAUUGUUCAAAUAGUUAAGAGUACGUAAAUACCCAAUACAUGGAACGUCAAUCAAACAGUACCACGCAUAAUAUAAUGCUCAAGAAAUUUAAUUAAAUCAAUCUCUGUAAAAGGCCCCUAAGAAACCCCUGCCUUGAUACUAAAGCUUUUGCUAGACCUAUAAGGUGUUUUCCAAUUUUCCACCGCAUUCACAAACUCUGUCUUCUACUUUUUUUCUUACUUCUCUCUACCACUAUUUCUUUCUCGUUUUCUUUGUUUUCACUUGUUGUGCAACUUAAUGUCCUAUAUAUAUACAAGGAACAAGUCGGCAGUAAGUGAUUUCCUAUUGGAUGGUGUAUUCGGUUGUUAUAAACUUACUAGUAAUAGUUAUCAAUGUAGUUGCAGAUGAGGAAGAAUGUUUUUGUGACUCUUCCAAUCCCUCUAAUCCUAUUUCUUAUCUUCUUGGUGAGUUGAUAGCCUCGAUACUUAACAGAUUUUAUACUUUGACACGUAUUAACAAGAACUAUUUUAAAAACAUAUACAUAUAUAUAUAUAUAAUAGAAUAUGUAUAUAUGUAAUACACAUAUUUAUAUAUAAUAAGAAUAAUAUAUAUGUAAUAAGAUAUAAAUAUUUAUUAGAACAGUAUAUAAAAUAAUAUAUAUCAUUCUUAUUAUAACAAUAAUUUUAAUUUUCCCAAAAUAAUAUAUAUUUAAAAAUAUGUGGUUUCACAUGCAUGUCCUUUUUGCUAUAGACACUAUUACAAAAAUCGAAAUAGACAACGGAAAACUACCGUCGUCUGGAAAGUUUUCAAACAGUCGUGAAAUCGACUGUCGUCUCUUUUACAUAAAACAACGACGGCUAUUAACCAACGUCGUUAAUACAUUCCACGUAAAAAACUAUUAUAAACCGACGUGUAAUUACUAUAUAUAUAGCCUAAAAUAAAAUCUUCAACAACCUUAGACGACGGUUUUAUUAAAACUGACACGUCUAAAGAGUGUUACAUGUCAAGAUCAAAACAAGAACCGACGUACAGAUAAUUAUCCACGUCCUAAUUGAAGUAAAAUAGACUUGGAUAACCUAGAAACCGUCGUGGUUAACAUAUACUACGUUAAAUUAACAAAGGCACUUACGUCUAAAAAGUAAAAGACAACACGCGCACAAAGCAACAGACGUUUAAAGCUUAGUACAUGUCAAUAGCCGCUCAAUAACCGCAGUAAAAUGAAUUAACCACGUCCCACAUAUGGCAGAACUGUUGCUUAUGUGAUUAUCCACGUCGCGGAGUAGUAGAACAAAGACGUUGUAACCAUAUUCCACGUCUGUUUCUUGUGAGAAUUGUCGUUUAAAUUAUACAAAGAAGCCCCUUUGACAGAGUUAGACGUUGCUCUUGCUGUAGAACCGACUUCUAACAGGUUUAAAAUGACACAAUAUUACUUAAUACUGCCGUAACAAAUCAUAUCCACGACUGCUGUUGUCAAAGACUGACGUUACAAAAAAUAUUGAAGGUGUUGACAAAAAAGAACCGACAUGGAUUAUGCAUUCAACGUCGUGUGGUCUAAAAAUAAAGGACGUGGUUAAUUUUUUCUCUACGUCAAGUGGAUCCAAUUGCCUGAUGUUGUAAUUCUUUACCAUGUUGGUUUUUAAUACAUGAUGAUGUGGUUGUCCUUUUAAAAGUCGCUUGUUUUACCCUCCUUGACGUGUGUAUGAUAUGAGACGUCAAUUGUUUUAGACUAGCUGACGUGCAGAAAAUCUGUCACGACAAUUAAUGCAACUGAAUUGCCUCUAUUUCCCCCAGACGACGGUAGGUUUUAAGUGUGGAAGUAGUGUUUUACAAAAUCGUAAGUUGGAGUAAUCUACCAUCGUGUUAUUCGAGAAUAUACCACGAUCUUUGUUUUGUACUCGGUCGCUGAUGUUUAUACUACUUAAUAAACUGACAUGUUUUCAGUUUCAGACGGCGGCUUUUGUUUCUUUAUGGUCUUUUGCAUUUUUUUUCCAUGACAUUUUUGAAAGCCUAAUGUUGGUUUUAUUUUAGAAAUCGAUUUUUCCCCUUUUUUUACUGGACCGUCGUACUUUACACAUUUAAUCAAUUUUUUUCAAUUUUUGAUUCAUCGUGCCCAAAGCCUACAUAACGAAAAUGUGAUCAGAAUUAAAAUGAUGUACAAAGGUAUUAAUUAAUGUCAUACAAUUAACUGAAUAACUAAUGUCAUACACUACAACAAUCAAUCAAUCCAUAUAUCUUCACACCCAUCUUUAAUAUUUUCACUCCCAAACUCACCCACUAGGUCAUCAUAUGUGUCAACAUUUGGUAUCCCUCUAGUAAAUGUCUCACACUCAAUUCUAAUAUCACCUAGCACAUCAUCACCAAUAACAUUAUUAUAUUCUCUAUUAUGCAUUGAUAACACUACCGACCAACCACGAUGCAUUGGGUCGUCAGCAUAAAAUACUUGUUUUGGUCAUUCCUAUGUCCAAUUUUACUCAAAUCUACAAAGGUGAAUCCAAGUUCAUCGACAACAAGGCCCAAAGUGUUAUCUAUCCAAUCACACCUCAAGACAAGGAUUCUAAACUUUUGGUAGUCAAGGUCCCAAAUUUCUUGAAUAACACCAUAAAAACCCAUAUUGGAGACAAUAGAGUUUUUAUCCUUAGCACUAGCAACUUGCAUAGUAUGUGCAAGUAAAUAAACUCCACUAUUUUGGACAGUUCGCAUAUCAUCUUGUGCCUUGGUGUUAAAUUUAACACCAUUAAUAAGAUAGCUCCUAUAUGAUGGCAUUGCCAUGCUUGGACUAGCUGCUAGCCACCUCAAAUUUUAUGAUACGCCAUUAUGCUCUUCCCCAUUAAGUUCACUUUGAACUUGCAAAUUAAUCGUAUAUAUCCUAAUUCGAUCUAACAUAUAAAAAGGAAGAAAAUUAAAAGUUGAAUAUGUCAUUCAAUAACAUAUAUACUUGAAAGUGUAGCCAUUGAAUGAAAGUGCUAUUGUGCUUAUCUUGCAGCCACUUUGUUCUCUUUCUAAAUAUUGGAUAAGUGGUCUUGAUGUGGAUCAUAUGUUCCAUACAUUGACACGAAAAAAUCAAGCAUUACGGUCCCUUGUAUAUAAGAUAACAUAAGGAAUAAUAAUAUUUAAAAUGGCUCUAUAUGAAAAAUGGAACUCAUGCGUACUCGAUAUAAGGUAGGACUUCCUCAGUAUUCUCCAAGACAUAUAGAUGUGUCUGGUUCAAAAAACCCGAUCACCUAAGCUUACUGUGCAACCAGAUAAUGGCUUUGAAACUCCCAUCUUCUAGCUUGAAGGCACUCCAACUGUACUAACAUCAGAUAAAUGCUCGGUGCAAAACUCUACAACUUCUUCAGCUAUAUACCGCUCAAUAAUGCAACAUCCGGGACGAGUACGGUUCUGAACAAACCUAUUUAGCACUUUCAUAUGUCUUUCAAAUGGAUACAUCCAUCUAAAAUAUACUGGCCCAUGUAGACGAACUUCUCUGACAAGAUGUACUACUAGAUGAACCAUGAUAUCAAAGAAUGAAGGGGGAAAGUACUUCUCAAGCAAACGCAACGUAACUACUACAUCUUCUUCCAAAUUAUCUAGCUUGGAAACAUCUACUGUCUUUGCACAUAUAGCAUUGAAGAAGAAGCACAAUCGAGUUAUUGCAUACCUUGCAGGCUUCUCCAAACAGAACGAAUUGCCACAGGGAGCAAUUGUUGCAUCAAGGCAUGAAAAUUAUGAGAUUUAAGGCCAAGAAGUCUUGAAUAUUUUUAAGAUACAAGAUUUUUUUAUAUUUGAACAAUAACCUUCAGGGACUUUCAUACCAUAGAAAGAAUUGCAAACCGCUCUCUUAUCUGCUCUUGACAAAUUCUAGGGCCUUGGAGGCAAGCGAGUACGUCUUUCUCAAUACUCGGGUUGCAAAUCAUUUUUGACCCCCAUGUUCAAUAAAUCUAACCGAACAGCAAUCUCAUCUUUAUUUUUUCUAGGGAUCUCCAGCAAUGUACCAAUGAUACUAUCGCAAACAUUCUUCUCAAUAUGCAUAACAUCUUGGACAUGCCUCAUAGGAAGGUAUUUCAAAUACUCGAGAUCAAAGAAUUUUGAUUUCUUAUUCCAACAAACUCUGUCACCAUCAUUCUCAAAAACACUUCCCCCAUUUUUCGAGCCCCAUAUGUAAUUAAUAUCUUCAACCAUGUCCUAUUCAAGUUAAUGGUUCGGGAGGCGUGCCAUAUUCAAGUUUUCCAUUGAAAGCUGCACGCUACCUCCGACAUGGAUGAUUGAUUGGUAACCAUUUUUUAUGACCAAUGUAACAAAUUUUGGGGCCAUUUUCAACCUGUGACUAGGUGUAUCAUCGCCGCAUAUUGGACAAGCUUUAUAUCCUUUAACGACACUGUAACACCCCGACUCUAAAUUAAUCCCUUAUUUAAUUAUUUAAAGAAAAUUACAAAUUUACCCUUAAGAUAGGGGUAUUUUGGUCAUUUUCUUACCCGAAGAGAGUUUGGGGCAGUGACUAGUAUUUUUGGAUAGGUCGUACUGAGACGAGUUCAUAGACACGUAGUGGGCUCGAAUCGAAGUUGUAACGAGAGAGAUAUGGUCAAAAGAAACCCAAUUGCACAAUCAUAAUUAUUUCGAAAUGAGAUUUUUAUAAAAAUCAGAUUUUUUUUUCUCUCUCUCUCUCUCUCCUCGUCGGUCUCUCUCCCUCUCCUCGAAACUCCGGCCAUCGGCCACGGCUGUGGACGGGGCCGGUACCAAAAUGACCGAGGCGUUGUCCUCCUCUAAUCCCAGCUAGGUCCCGCCGUCAGCCGCCAUGGUUUCGCCGGAAAAUGGAGAAGAAGCGGCCGGCGUCGUCCGAAGUUCUCCGCCGUUGAUCUCCCUCUUCCGGUCACCGAUUCCGACGAGUGAGGUAUGGUUUCUCACCUACUUUUCAUGCUCUAGCUGCCUGCUGGGUAUGAUUGGAUUGAUUUUUAGCGUAGGCAAUUCGAUUUUCGCAUUGAAAUUCGGCUAAUUUUGGAAUCACGAUUCCGGCUAGUUCUGGUCAGUUUUUGGGGUAGAUCCAAGAACAAAAGUGGCUCCAAAUAGGGUGUUAUACCUAGGGUAGGAGUUUGGAGCCAUGGUUUUGAGAUUUUCCGGCGAUACGUAAUCGCUUUAGACACCCAACGCUGCCCGCACGUGUGGCAGUGCGUGGGCGAGGGUAGUGAAAUAGCACUAUGUCUCGAUGAGAUCCUUAGGUUGUCACGAGUGCGUAGGAUUUCGCGGAUCUCAAUUCGGACGUCGUUUGACUAUCGAACGGAUUUUCGUAUAUUGCGCGUCAUCCGGGUUCGAUAGGUUGGGACCGUUGGAUGGUCUCGAAUAAAAUAUAUGUUAAUCUAGGUAUUUCUAGGAUCAUGUAGGAAUUCACGGAUUAUAAAUCGGAGCCCCGGAUAUUCCGAAUAAAUAAUUUAAAGUUUAUGUUUUAUAAUAACCGUCACAUCGUGCGAUCGUGAGCGAUCCGACCGGCCGAUCUGGACCAAACUUACAGAACGAGUGUCCUAUACCUUGAAGAACCCAUAGGAAUUUUCAGAUCGAAAUUUGGAGGUCGUGGGCCCCGUGGGCCCAUUUGACUAGGGGUAGGGUAGUUUGACCCUUAGUUGACCGUGAGUCUCCCGGAGUAAUCUCACCUUUCCAGGGGGAUUAUCGGGUGCUAGACUGUUGUUGAGGUUUACACGAUAUUAGUAGUAAAUUAUAUAUUUAUAUACAUUUGUAAAGGUAAAAAAUAAGUCCAGAAUGUCAGUUUGAAGUGCUUUACGCACUACCUUAGGUACCUCCCCGGAUUUUAGUUACACUACAAGUACCACCCUAUGAAAGUUAGGUCCCACGUGGCGUAGGUUAUCCGGCGUGCGGACAGGCCCUAUACGUGGCAUUGGUAGUAUCGGUGUAUGGGGAGAUUACGUGAUAAUAUGUUGAGGUCACACGUGGCGUAGGUUAUCCGGCGUGUUGACAGACCCCAUACGUGGCGUUGGUUGUACCGGCGUAUGAGGAGAUAUUGUGAUAUGAUAUUCAGGUCUCGCGUGGCGUAGGUUAUCCAGCGUUGAGACAGACCCCAUACGUGGCGUUGGUUCUACCGGCGUAUAAGGAGUUUAUGUGAUAUUAUGUUGAAGUCGCGCGUGGCGUAGGUUAUCCGGUGUGUCGACAGACCCCAUACGUGGUGUUGGUUGUACCGGCGUAUGGGGAGAUAUGUGAUAUGAUGUGCAGGUCUCGCGUGGCGUAGGUUAUCCGGCGUUGAGACAGACCCCAUAUGUGGCGUUAGUUGUACCGGCGUAUGGGAAGAUAUUGUGAUAUGAUAUUCAGGUCUCGGGUGGCGUAGGUUAUCCGGCGUGUUGACAGGCCCCAUACGUGGCGUUGGUAGUACCGGUAUAUGGGGAGAUUAUGUGAAAUACAGAGAAAUGAAAUAAGGUAUUGCCUAUGUGUGGAAUUGGGUUUUAAGGAAGAACUACGUGUGGCUUGAUCCCUCAGGGAGGGUACGUAGGCAGCCUAAGGUUAUUAGGUGUAGCCGCGGACAUAGACGUGAUUGUGUUAGGAGGUUAAAACCUCGUAUGUUGAAAUUGAGAAAAUUAGAUGAUGUAUGUUGAAAUUUAGUAGUCGUAAUUUAUAUUUAAAUUUAUCGUUUGCCUUGUUUAAGGCAUGAAUUGAUUUGCUAGCAUGCUUGGUAGUUGAGAAUUAUAGAAAGGCCGAAGGCCGUUUAUGUGAAUUGCAUGGAAUUAUAUUGUGCAUGCUGCCAGUUGUAGUUAUUAAAUGUGUUUUUAUGCAGGUUGAAAUUUUGGGAAAUGUCCAAUUUACAGGGGAGACUCUGCCGAAAUUUCGGCAGAAAGUCUCGGUCUUUAGUAAGUGGGCCUGACAUCGAGGUGAUGUCGGGGAAUCCACAGGAUCCGCCUCGAUUUUUGGAAAAAUCGGGGCGGUUCCUUUCAGACACAACCAGAUAAGUUCUCAUAGGCAGAAAAAUCAUUAAUUGUUCACAGUAAUACACCUAUGAGUGUAAAGUAAUCUCCUAUGUGUGCAUCAUACACUCCUUUAAUCCCAUCCCACAAAGAUUUUAAAUCAUCAAUCAGAGGCUCUAAGUAGACAUCUAUAUCAUUUCCAUUCUAUUUAGGACCAGAAAUCAAUAAGGUCAAUAUCAUGAACUUCCAUUUCAUGCAUAGCCAUGGUGGGAGAUUAUAUGUAACUAAGAUAACCAACAAUUGUAUCUGCUACUUAAAGAACUGUGGGGAUUGAAUCCAUCAGAUGAGAGAGCCAAUCUCAAGUUUCUUGGCUCUUUACUGAACUCGGGCCAUUUAUCAUCAACAAGUUUUUAAGACGGGAAAUUCGCUGGAUGAGACAUAUGACCGUCAAUUGCUUUUCUAGCAACAUGCCAAGUCAAACUCUUAGCUGUCAUAUGUGAUUGAAACAUCCUUUUAAACCUUGGAAUUGGAGGAAAAUACCACACCACCUUCGCUGGCACACUCUUUUUCAAGAUUGAAUCUUUGCAUUCCUUCCACCUUGAGAUACCACAAGUAGGACAAUUAGUUGAAUCUUCAUAAUCAUUCCUAUACAAGAUGCAGUCAUUGGGACAUGCAUGGAUAUUCUCAUAACUCAUCCCUAAAGGAGAUAAUGUCUUUUUUGCCUCGUACAUAGAGGAAUAUAGUGUCUUUCCUUCUGGAAGCAAAUCUCCUUGAAGUAUCAAUAAUUCUAUAAAACAAACAUCACUCAUCCCAUGUUUUGCUUUCAAAUUAUAUAACUUCACCAAAGCCGACAACAUCGUGUACUUACUGCAACCAGGGUACAAGGAUUGAUCUCAAUCCCCAAUCACAUUGGCAAACUCAUAAGGAUCAAAUCCAAUAUCGCCUAAAUCAUUAUCAUCCAUCCCUACUUCUUUAGAAACAAAACUGAACCUACUUUGCUCAUCUUCUUCCACAUUUCUACUAGCAUUAGUAGUCAAUUCCCAAGGUUCUCCGUGCCAUGUGCAAAUCUGAUAGCUUUAGUCAAUUCCAUUAAAGUAUAAGUGGUCCCUCAUAAUUCCAACCCCAAACAAUCGAAUAUUCCCACAUUUAACACAUGGACAACGAAUAUGAGUUGUAUUUCCAAGAUUUUCUACAGCAAAAUUCAAAAAUCCUUCCACCCCUAACUCAUAUGCCUUCGGUCUUCUAUCCGCAUGCAUCCAUGACUUAUCCAUCUCACACACUAUAAAAUCAUAUAUAUAAUAAAGUGAAAAGACCAGCAAUGAAACACUACUUUAUUCACAUAGCAAAGAAUGAAUUGAAAAAAAAAAUUAACCAAGAAUCAGACGACGGUUUUUACAAAAAAAAUCGUCCUGUAACAGAGGGUCAGACGACGGCAUAUCUAGUUAUCGACGUCUUUAAGCUACCCAAACCCAGAUAUUUGUAUUGCUUUUUGAAGAACCGGGUUCUGGGUUCUGGUAAACAAAAGAUGACGGUAAAUGGAGAAACACCGACGUAUCCUAAAACUUGAGACGACGGUUUAUUUCACCAACCGUCGUCGUAGUUUACGAAAAACAGAAGUCUAAAUCUCCCAUCCUCAUUCCUUUUCUAAGAACCCUUAACAAAAUGCAAACAUCAAAAUAUAAAAGAGCCAUAUAUAGCUCCCAAUUAAGAAACCAAAGCUACCAAAACAUAUAUUAAUAAACCAAAGCUACCAAAAUGAACGAAAACAUUUAUGGGUUUUACAAACUAAGAGAAUAUUGAGAGAGAGCUGAGAGAAUAUACUUACAUGGAUAUUGAGAGAGAGCUGAGAGAAUAUAACAAAUGCUUGAGAGAGAGCUUAGAGAAUAUACACAAUGCUUUGAGAGAGAGCGAAAAAUUUAAGACAAAUUUAUGUUGAAGAGAGAGAAGGAAAUAUUUUAGGGUUAAAGGGAAAUUCUGAAAAUUUUAGAUCACCGUCAAAAUUUUCAAAGGACCGCGUUUUUCAAAGACGGCUAAGGAAAACUACCGCCAUUGUAAAUCAUUUUACUACGACGGUUGAGGAAAACUACCGCCAUUGUAAAUCAUUUUUAUGUCGCCUCUAUAAAAACCGACGUCUAAAAUAUUAAAUAAUUAGAUUUGGUUUGCAUUUCGUGGGAUUCUAACGUGCGUAAUUGACCAAAAAGAGCGAGAGAAAACCAGCGUCGUUUCUAUAAAACCUAAACCCUAAACCCUAAACCCUAAACUCUAAAACCUAAACACUGAAAAAAUUAACCAAAAAUUGCUAUGGACUCCUUACAACAAUGCCUUCUAUAUUAGUAGGCUAAAAUCGGGAUUAAAUAAUUUUGAAUUUUAUGACCACCAAUGGAUCACAUAAACCUUAGGGUUAUGUUUAUGGAAAGUAUAAGGAUUAUUGUGUUUUGUCUCUAAAUCUUUUUUACUUUUGUUAUCACUUGUAACUUUGAAAUCUAAAAUUAAAAUUUUCAGGCCUUUAGGGGGGAGAUAUUGUCUCAAUGUGUUUAUAGAAUUUGAGACUGCGAAGGUUCUAGCUGAUUGACUAAGGAUGAGGCAGGAUGGAUGGAAGGUUUGCUUGGAGAUUCUACCUUUGUCAGCUCUUCUGGUUGACAUGUUGUUUAUUCUGCCUGAGGAACUACUUCUAGAUUUUUCCCUUUUCUAGCAGAACUAGUCUCUGGAAGUACUUGUGUGUCAUCCUUAUUCUUGAGGAAGACGCAGUAUUGCCUUUGAACUCUCCUCUUUUGCAUUCUGGUUAGCUUCAGAGUUGGUCUUCGGCUUUUUCCAAUAGAAUAUCAUCUACCUUCUAUGAUAGUUGCAAAGGGCUUGUCAUUUCCAGGCAUCUUAACUGGUAUUUCCUUCUUUGGCUGCUCUAUUAUUCUCUUGUUGCGUUGGGCAGGCCUUAAAUAGUCCUUCUGUCUGGCUCUAUCUCUAGGUGGAGCCGGAACUAGGCCUUGUUGGUAUGAUGUUCCAAUCCUGUCAAAAACACAAGGUGUGGGCUGACUUUGCCUAACCAGAGUUACCUCUAACUCACUUUCACAUUUGCACCUGUUGCACAAAACUACCCCAGCCGAAAUGGUUGCUUUUGGUCUUCAAUUAGCCUAUCUUUGGACUCUUCUGCCUAUGCUGGGGCUAACUUUUGCUGUUAGUUUGCCUUUCUUUUGUUUUGGCCAAUUUAAGUUGACCAUGUUGACUUGAGGUUGGGGAAAAGGGUCUGUUGUUAUCGAAUGAGGUUUCUCAGCCAGUUUUAGCCUCCAUGCUGUUAUUCCUUCCUGUAUGACGUCCCUGAAAACAACACAACUAUUGGUGGAAUGGUCCCAGGAGUUAUGCCAUCUGCAAUACUGUCUGCCCUUGAGUUCCUCUAGCUUGGGCAACUUGUAGGGUGUUUCUAUUGCCUUCUGUCGCAGCAUGUCAUCAAACAGGGCAUCAACCUUGGUUAAAUCGAGGGAAUAGACUUUGUUAUGAGCUGGUUUGUUUGGAACAAACCCUCUUGUGAAUGGUGGUGGCUUUUGGUCCUUUGGUGGCUUUGUUAAAGCCUUGCAACUGAUGAGAUGUUUUAAUUUCCCCAUUUCUGCCACUGCAACUUCUCUCUCCUCCGAGCUUUCUAUGCCUUCUUCUGAUUCUACCUCAACAAGAUUUACUGAAGAGGAUGGGGUUUUGUAAUAUGUGCCUUUGAAAGAGUUCCUCUUCUAUUGUUCUUCCCUGAGCAGCUCCUUGUAUUUAGAUGCUUUGUCUGCUAGUUCUGCCAGAUCUCCAAACAGCAUCCCAUCAAAUUUUUUUCUCAGAGAGAUUUUAAGGGAGAUUUGAGCCAUUUGGAUGAAGUGCCCUUCCUCCAUAGGGAUUCAAAAUUUCAUUUUGAGCUUUUUGAACCUGGUUAUGAAGUCUUGGGCAGGCUCAUCUUCCCUCUAUUUCCAGGUUUGAGGGCAGCAAGAUCACUGAUGGUGACUUCUGGCUGAAUCCUAAAAUAGUAGUCAUGGAAGACAUUUUCCAUCUAUUUCCAGGUUUGAACAGAAUUGGCUGGUAAGCUAGUAUAUUAGAUGAAGGCUUGUCCAGAGAGAGAAUUUCGAAAAAGCCUUAGUUUUAACAGAAGGUUAUUUUCUAUGGCUAUGCACUGGAAAGAGAAUCUGCCUAUAUGCUUAACUGAUGAAGCAUGGGUGUCUUCUCCGUUGAACAAGGUGAAGUGUGGUACCUUAAAGCCCAGGGAUAGAGGUAUUUGAUCGAUAUAAGCUGGAUAAGGCUUUCUGUAGGUGGGCCUUUCUCCUCUUCUGGCCUCAGGUUCCAUCAUCUCUCUGAUCAUUCUAUAAAGUGCCCCCAUGUCAUUCAAAGCAUUGACAUGAUGCGGGGUUCGCCCCUGUUCUGGCUAGUUGUGUUCAAUCCUUUGUUCUACUUUAUAUGGCCUGGGCAGAACUUCCUCCCUAUGCUCUUCCUCUUUUUCGAAAUCUGGAUGAUUCCUUUAGUUUGCCCCCGGUCUGUUUUUGUCAUUGUUGGCAAAGGGUUUAACUCCUACUCUACCUCUCAUGCCACUUGCUAGUGGAGGGAAUGGAUUGGGGUCCAUCCUUCUAGGUCUGUAGGGCAACACAACUGGUUGCUCAGGCAGAAGUGCCAAGGCCUGAUCACGUGGGGCCACUAGUUGUGGAAUAGGUGGAGGUUCUGGCUAGUUCUGAGGGGGUCUGAACUGGUGCAGAGCCUUCUGGAUGAACUGAAUCCUCAUGUUCUUGGAUGGGAAGGGCUCCUCCCCUCUGUCCAGCUUGGAUUUCUCCAUGUCCUGGUAUUCCAGCUAUCUGUGUGAUGAGAGGCUUCUCUUCAUAUGGCCAUGCCAGUCCUGGUAGAGGUCCAAAAGGGAGAUCUAGCUGCUGGACCACCAUGUCUAGGUUUGGAAUUUUGGCAAUAGUAGCCUCACGGUCCUUCCUGAACUGCCUGUUGACUUGCCAUUACAUCAUGGUUGUCAUGUUGUUUAGAGUAUCUUGGCUCAUUUGUGCUGUGGCUUCUUGCCGAAACACAGCCUCCUGUAUCUAGUUUAACCUUCUGGAACCAGACAUGGAACGUCUACUCGUGGUACUGCCAUGGGCUGAUUACCUAGCAUCACUUUCUUUUGACUCAAGUCCUUUUCGGAGAGCUGCUUGAUCUCUUUUCAUGGCAUAGCGUGGAUUCUGGCUAGAACUUCCAAUAUUCAUAUACUAGAGGAUUUUUCUAGAAAUAUAUGUAUUGAGAAGUCCCACUGGGCGUGCCAAAUUGUUCAUCCGUUUUAGAUUUGUUCCUGUGAUGGUAGGGUAAAGUUCCUCAUUGACUUGAAAACCAUUGGUGGUCAAUAAGUCAACUUUCUUUUGUGUACAAAUGUGCCACUGCUAGCAAUAAAAACCCUAGCAGACUUCUUAAAAAUAGAAAACUUGUGCCCAAGUUAUUAACUUCUAAAUAAGCGAUUGUGAAUUUGGGCGAGGAAUAUCUCCCAAGUAAGUUCUUUUCUUUGCCUCAGAUUGGUGAGGACUUCACAAUUUUUCACAGUACAAAACUGGUAGUUCUAGCUAGAAUAAAUGAUAAGAAAGUGAACUGUUUUCAGGCAGAACUACCUUUUACAAAGCUUAAAAAGGAAGACCAACUCUAAAAAGACAAAAAGAGCUUUUGGACUUCAAUUUCUGCUUGGAUAAAUGCUUCUGAUCCGGGCUGGACUGGGUAUGUUUGUGCUGGACUGGACUAUCAACACCUUCAACUGUCAAGUUUUAGCUGUCAAUGAAUACCAAUGUUCGAGUGUGGCAAAGCUUCAAUCUAUUUCAAGCCGUGCAAGGCUUUUUGAACGGACAGAAUUGGAACCUCUUCAGUCUGGAAGGGGUAGAAGUGGCUGAAUUUGGUGAUUACUGAGCUGGAACUGCACUGUAGUACCUGUUCUGCUUGAUCAGGGCUCUCCAUAAAUUUGUUGAGGUUUUAAUAUUGGUAAAACCCGAAGCUUAUGUUGAACCAACUUUGUAACGAGAGAAAUCUUGCUUUGAAUGACUAUUUCUCUGAAACUAAACAGAAGUUAGAGAUUCUGGAAUAUAGCUGACUUGUUUCUUAUGGCUCAAUGAGCUUUUGGUUGCUUCAGUGUUUUGAAGGCUUUUGAGAUCAAGUGAUCAUUUUGAGUUUUUAUUUUUGAUUGAUUUUUUGGCUGUCCUUUUAUCUGUUCACCUCAUCUCAUAUUUAUAGAAUAUACUGGAGUGUGAUUUCUAAUCUUUUAAUAAUGGGCGGCAAAUCUUUUAAAAGAUCUUUUUUUCUUUUUUCAAUGUCAUAAGAGAAGGAAGCUACUAUUCUGACAGAGAAAGGUUGUCAACAAUCAUCUUUCAAUUUUUCUAUGUUCACUUUUUGUUCUUUGUAAAGAGAAAGAACACAAUCUACCAUGAUGGUCAGUGUGCUUUUCCUGUUGAACAACUCCCUCGUUCUCUACUUAUCUCUUGAAAACGUAGUCUGCUUAUCUCUUGGAAAGACCACCUGAUUUGGUGCAGAGCUUCUCUAUAUAUAUAUAUAUAUAAAGGGAUUUUGAUCUUCUUCUUUUGGCUGAAAAAAUAGAGAAGUCUUUCUGUAAGACCUGCCUUCAUUAAUUUUCUAUCAACUUCUCUGUAAUAGUUGAAAAUUUUGACUUUUCAAAGCCAGGUAUUCACGUGGGGUUGUUUAGAAAAGAUCUGUUGAUUUUGUCAAUCUUUUAGGGUAGAGAUUAAAUAGCGUAAAAAGGCUGGGCUAGUCUCUUUUUCUUAGUAGAUAAAAAGCCCAAAUAUUUUGUCUCACUGCCCUUUUCUGGAAAAUAAAUGGGCUGGGUGUGUUGGAAAUUGGCCCAAUCUUAAGAAAGACUCUGGUGGCUGCCCAAAAUUGACAUAGGCUUUUCUUGAUUUUGGGCUGGGCAUGCCAAAUUAGGCCCAAACAAUGCCCCUUAAGUCUGAAUUGUUUUUGGAAUAGUUUCAGACUUAAUGAUUUGGCCAUUAAUUUGUGCGCGCCAUUUCCUUCUGUUAGCCCACAUCUGCCACGUCUGCCUAUUAUGAUCAAGACUUCGUGGGAAAGUGGGCAGUUACUAGCUAGUUAUUAUCAGGUGGCGUCUUGUCUUCUUCUUCCCACGAUUUCGAGUCUUUCUAAGAAAUUUAAAAAGACCUCAGCUCCUGUUUACUCAAAACCUAACUUCUUCAGACCUUGAUUUUCCUCAGUUUUCUCAGAAUUUUUACCCUUUUCUGCGAUCAAACCCUGCUUCCUUUCAGUUUGAUUCCCCUAUCCUAGCUCAAAACCCGAAAAUGUCUUCUCCAAAAAAUCGUGCCCAGACUUCUUCUUAUUCUGUUCCUCCUACCUACAUUACUGGGGCCGGUGUUGAUAAGCAUGUGAUUGAAGUCCGGAGCAAGCUUCAUCCUUUUGCCCAGAACGUUCUGGACAAGAACGUGUUACAUUUGUUCGAGAACACUCUUGUUUUGGAGCCUCAUCGGUUUGGUUCUGUCCCGACUGAAAUGGCAGAAUUGUUUAAAGAAUAUACUGAAGCUCCUCUAUGCUUUCAGAGCUCUUUCGUAGAUUUCAGUUUUAUAUAUAAACUAUCGUGUUUCUCCCUAUAACAUGUCGUUUUUAAGAAUUGUUGUCAAUGUUUUAUUUCCUGCUACUAUAAGACGGCGAUUAUUUAUACAUAUGAGACGUGUAAAUUAGAAUGAGACGUCAGUCUUUGGGAUUUAAAUUAAGUUUUUACGAUUUAAUGUCAUUUUAGUUCAUAUAAGGACAUAAAUGUCCUAACCAAAAAUAUAUUUAUGUACAUUGUCAAUAAAUUAAAAUAAACCUAAACAUUGUUAAAAUAAAUUAGAUCACUUAUUAUUCUGUAAUUACUUGUUAACGAAUUCAGCCCAUUCCAACCUGACUUCGUCAAUAUGUUCUUAUACAUACUGAACUGGUUCCUUUUUCUUAUCAAACUGCAAAUAAAUAACAAAAACCAACGUGUUAUAAAGAUUACAACGACUGCUUUUAAAGAAAAAGUUGUGGUACUAAAAUAAAGAAUUUAUAUCUUAAGUUUUGCCUUUUACCUUCUUCUCAAAUGCUAGGCCUGGAUCAUGAAUUAUAUCUCUCAUGAAAUGCAUCACGUAAUAGCCACACUCUACAUUUGUUGGUUGUCGAGGAGUGCCAUGUAGAUUUUUCCAUAUGACUGAUUUACAUGAUGAUUAAUUGCCUGUGUGAGAGUUAUACAUUUUGAUUGAACUGUUUCAAGAAAAUGAAAAGUGUUAAUGAUAAAAAUAAAAAUCUAAAGCAAAAAUAUUAAACGUCGUGGUAAAUAAGUGAAGACGAUGGUUUUGUUAAAAAAGUGAUGUUGUAUUUCAUUUCAAACGUUGGUAAAUAAAAACCGUCGUUGUGUAGAAUUCUAACGUCGGUGACGAUGAAAAAUGACGUAUAACCAAAAAUUGUUUGUAAAUGAAAGUUGAACAGAAAAAAAUAAAACUUCCUUAAAUGAAAAACACAAACGACGUGGUAUUUCAAUUAAAAUGACGGUUUACAGAAAAUACUGACGUUGUAAAUGAUUUCAAACAUCGGUUUGAAGUUACCAUCGUGUUUUCAUUGUAACGUCGGUAUUAGAAAAAGCCGUAUAUCAUUCAAAUGCAAAUAAAAAAAUGUUAGAUUUUCAUAGAUAAACUUACAUAUUCACUAUAUUUCUCAUGUCCUCGUCAACAACGCGGUUUGGCAAUGAAUCCAUGUAAUAGAUAGUCUCCUUCGCUGGUCUCACAAUUAUUAACACCCAAUGACCCCUACACAUAAUGAUCCAUAUAGGUUAAAUAUACUAGAAAGAAAAAUAGGCAUCAAGUAUAGUUAAGGGGACUAACCUUGGAUUACAAGGCACCAUGUAAAAUUGAUCCCCAUUUGCGUUUUUCAGGCGGUCUGAGAGAUGUUUCAAACGGUAAGAUAACGUUCCAGAUUGAGAGCUGACUUGUCCAAGGUCCACGAAGCCAAUAAGGUUUACCAUAUUUUCUAUUUUUAAAUAGUCAAAUAGGCACCUAAAUAUAUGAAAUUCAAUUAAAUGAGAUUUUAACUUUAAAGAAAGGAAAUGUAUAAUGCAAUCACUGUGGAUCCAAUCUCAACCAUGGAAGGAAAUUGUAAAAUAUCUUCACACAAGAGGAAGGUAUCAUGGUUAAUGCCAAAGGCUUCCUCUGGAAUGUGAAUUCUAAUGGUCUCGUUAAUGGGCUUCAACUUGGUCUCGACAAAUUGAAAUAAGGCUAACAGAGGAGGUGGCAUGUCUAGCUUUGAGAGAUCCUGUUACAACAAAUAAAUAAAGAAAUAUAAGUUAGUUUGUACACUAAGUAAAAUAAACGACUCUAACUAAACCAAUCAAACCGACGUGGUAUAUAAUAUAAUCGACAGUUUCUAGAACAUACUGAAGGAGUAAAGGUUAUAGACGACGGUAAAGACAUAACCAUCGUUAUGUAAAUGUUCUAACGUCGCUGCAUUAUGGAAAGGUCGUCUAAUUAAAAUGCAGUGAAGCCUUUAUUGAAAUACACGACAGUUUAUAAAAUAAACACCGACGUAGUAAAAUACUGAGACGACGGUUAUCAGCAACGUCUAUUUGAAAUUAUAAAUCAGAAAAAAUCAAAUAUCAAAGAUUUUACCGUUUCAUCUUGCCAUUGUUUAGCAACAUCAGCAUCAUUCGUGGGAUUUUCUUCCUCCAAAACAAGGGGUCUCACAUUAGAGCAGCUUGCUUUGUCAGACAUUAGAUUUUUUGGAGUAAUUGGAGUUUUAUUGAGCAAGUUGGGAUCACAGUUGGGAAUUAGUUGACUGAAUUGUUUCAAUAAAAUUUCCCUCUCUGCUCUGACUGCCUCCAAAACAGUUUCUUUUGCCUUAGCUUUAAUCUUUUUGGUUUCUUCUCUCACUGCCUCCAUAACACUUUCCUUCAAUUUGUUAGCAAAUUUUACUCUCUGCUGUCUCGACAAAUUGAAGAAUUGAGUUGGGGAAACCCCAGCUCCAACACCUCUAACUCUCCCACCAUGCUCAGGGGUUCCCAAAGCCAAGGUCAAAAUAUCGUUGCUCUCAGAGACAGCAGAGUGCCCUCGGAAACUUGUUUUUUCAAAUCAUCCUAAAAGUGAGAGAGAGAGAGAGAGAAUGUUAGUGAGUGAACAGAUAGUAAAACAGAUUAAAUAAACAACUAUACAAAAAUAUUAACCGACGUGGUAAAGACUUUAAAAAACUGAAAUCAAUCCCCAAUAGUAACAGGGACCAUGCAGCAACGAUUUGGUUGACAGUAGUAUAGGUUGGAGAUGCUGUUGAUCAUUAGAUACUAUUUUUUUAAAUAUCAAUUCUGUAACAUCCAGACCUAAAAAAUUAAUGAUUUUGAUUUAAAAUUAAAUUUAAAUAAGCAAUUACGAAUUUACCCUUGGGGAAGGGGUAUUUUGGUAUUUUUUUUUUAUUCAGAAAGAGUUUGGGGCAGUGACUAGUAUUUUUGGGUAGAUCGUACUGAGACGAAUCCGUAGACACGCGGUAGGCCUGAAUCGGAGUUGUAACGAAGAAACGGUGACCAAAAUUAGUCCAGUGGCAAACUUGUAAAUAUUUUGAACUUGGGUGUAGAAAAAUCUGAAACUGGCUUCCUCUCUCCUGCGUGCACACGUCCUUCUCUCUCUCUCCUCUCUCUCUCCUCGAUACCAUCACUCUCUGUCUCUCUCUUCGAUUCUCUCAAUUCUGGCCACGGCAAGGGCCGGGACUGGUUCCGAUCAACUCCUCACAAAGCCCCGAACCAGAACCACCACUUUUCUUGGCCGGAAAGCUCGAGUUUCGCGUGGUAAUCUCGACUGGUUUGAACCAGUUUUCCUCCGUCAUUGUGCCGCCGCCAUCGCAGCCCAAUCUCGGUUAAACAAGUGAGGUUUCUUACUCUUUUUCCGAGCUCUAGCUGCCUGUUGGGUAGGAUUGGAUUGAUUUUUUGUCUAGGAUCCCGAUUUUGAAACCUAAGUUUUGACGAAUUUCAAAGUGAAAUUCCGGCCGGUUGCCGUCCUAAUUAGACCUCCCCGUAGUUGAAUAAAGUGAUCCUCGCUUCGAGUAGUAGCUAAGGUAGGAAUGGUGAAUUGCGGUGUGGAGUUUUUCCAUCACUGAAAAUUACUCUACACAUCCACGCGUUGCCAGGGCAUGUGGAGGCGCAUGGGCAAUGUGGUGAGACCACAUUUUAUCCUGAUGUAGUCUCCUAGUCCUCACGUGCGCGUAAGUGUGCUCGAAUUUCAAUUCGAAUGUUGUUUGACUAUCGAACGGAUUUAUGCAUAUUGUUUCUUAUCCGGGUUCAAUAUGUUCGGACCAUUGGAUCGAGUCCAAAUUUACGUAUGUUAAUCUAGGCACCCCUAGGAUCAUGUGCGAAUUCGCGGAUCGUGAAUCGGAGCCCCGAAUGUUCCGAUUCAAUAAUUUGAAGUUUAUGGUUUGCGAUAACCGUCAAUUUCUGACCAAACCUACAGGACGUGUUUCCUAAACCCGUAGUCGGACCUUAGAAUACUCGUUAUGCGUGCACGCACCGGGAACUUGAGAAAAUUAGUAUUUAAUUUGUAAAUUCCGUUUUGAAGUGAUUUUUUAUUAAUUAAGGGUGCGUAUCUCGAAAUAGGUGCUCCAUCACUAGCACGCAGCAGGUAGGACCCUCUUGAGGUCAGGCAGUGUGGGACUACUUGUGAGUGGACAUUUAUUUUAUAUAUGCAUUAUUUUCAAUGAUUGAAAGAAUAUGCAUGAAAUAUAUAUAUUUUUUGGAAUAAAGAUUGAGAAAUUCAUAUGUUGUUAUAUCAGUAUUAUUUAAUUUAGAAUUUGGUUUGAUUUGAUGAUGAGUUAUAUAAAGGUCAAGUUAUUCGUGAUUAAGUCUUGGAUGAAUUUUGGGGGAAUCGGGAAUUGAAUAUUAUGGUUUAUGGUGGGAACUUAUAUGAUUACACUGUGUGGAGUACCAUCCCCUAGUUACUAGGCUUCCCACAUGUGGCGUUGGAAAUUUUCCAGCGUGUGAUGAUGUAGUCUGCACGCAUAGGACUUAGUAUUGGAGCUACACGUGGCGUUGGAAUUUCCGGCAUGUAAGCUAUGGAGUUUCGUCCCCCGGUUGGACCGCUCAUCCCUAGACGCAGGAUAGCAACUGAAAAUCUUGCGGGUUAGCCAAACAAUCCCCCGGUUGGAUUGUUUCCCCGGUACCUAAGUAGUGUGAUAAAUAUUAUGUAUAUUUAUAGAUAUAUAUAUUUCUAUGUGUGUGUGUGUGUGUGUGUGUGUGUGUGUGUGAGUAUAAAUCAGUUAAAGUAUAUGUAGUGGUUGGGUAAGAGCAGUAUAAAUUUUGGGGAUAAAGUUUAUGGAUAGAGUGAUUGAUCUCAAAGGGUUUCGGAGAAUGAUGUUUUUGAUCAUUAAAUAAAAGUUAUGAAUCUGCAUGUCUUGAGCAUUAUUUUUAGACGGUGGGGUUAUUAUGUUGUUUUGAAUGCAAAUUUUGUUUUUCCACUCACAUGUUUUCUGUUUUGCGCCCCCCAAACAGUAGUCGCUCAAGGGAGAGUUGCAAGCCAUGUUCGAGGCCCCGAACUGUGAACAUCAGUAGAUUAGGUUUCGAGUAAUUUCUUUCUACUCAACUGGAUGUUCUUGUAAACUAAAUUCGUUAGAUGCUCUAUUAUUGCCCCUGUUAGGUUUUACUUGUGAGGCCAGAGGCCAUUUAGUUUAUACUGUUGAAUAAUAAAUGCAUGCUGCUGGUUGGGAUUAUAUUGUGCUUAUGCAGGUUGAAAUUUUUGGGAUUGUUCAAUUUACAUGGGAGACUCUAGCAAAAUUUUAGUAGAGAGUCUCGGUUUUUAAUAAGUGGGCCAGGCAUCGGGGUAAUGUCGGAAAUAAGACUGGAUUCGUCCCGGUUUCCGAAGAAUUCGAGGCGGGUCCUGUCAAGUUCCUCCUAUUAACAAUAAUAAAUUAAAUAUUUAUAUAACUGAUAACAGUUCCUCAUAUUAACAAUAAUAAAUUAGUAUUUUGUAUAAUAAACAUGUUUAAUGAAAUUCAUCUUCUUCUAGCAUGUUUAUUUAAAUUCUAAGUUUUCUGAAGAAAAAAAAAAAAAAAAAGGAGAAGGAAAUGUCCUAAAUUAAAUCUUAAAAGUUCAUUUUUUUCUGUCCCUAUAUAUUUUUUACCCAAUUAUAAUUUGAGAAAAAAAGGUGAAUUAACUGUCAUUUCACCUUCAUCAUUUUCAUGAUUUAUAUAAGAUUCUUCAAAGAUCAUUUCCACAAAAAAUUACUUAAAUUCGAAUCCAUUUAACCGUCUAAUUAAAUCGUUAGGACCGUUGAAAUAAAAUUUAAAGUGAGUUUAAAGUGAGUCCUACUAUGUCUCCCUCAAAUAAGAUCAUUUACAGGAUCUGUCGAGUCAUAUGAGAAUGUUUAGCUUUUCGAUCCCAAGAGUUUGGUUCGAUUUUCAUAUAUAUAUAUAUAUAUAUAUAUAUAUAUACAAGUCAAUUUACUUUAAAAAGUUCACCAAAUUUUAUUUUUGGUCUCGGUAGUUUGCUUGAGGGCCUUUUUCUGUCAAUCUAUUUGUUGUGAUUGAAAGAUUUUAUAUAAAACAAAAGAUAUGUUUUUAUCUUAAAAAAUGCUUAUUUUCAGAUCUUUACAUAUAGACAUACAUAUGGCCUGAGAAUUCAAGCAAUAAAGACAUAAGCUGAUGAGCAUUCAUAAUCAUUAGAAUGAGUACUGAAUGGUCAACUCUUUCAAAAUACUUCGGAAAAAAACAAAGGACAAUACUUCCUUCCUUACUCAUAAGAAGGAACUCCUUCUCACCUUCUAUUGUCCCUCAACCACAAAGUAACAAGUGUUCUCUUUUUUUAAUUGUCAAUUUUUUUUUUUUCACUUUUACUGAACCCCUAGCUUUUUACCAAAGCAAAAAACACAAAACAAUAUUCCCAUUGUUUUUUUUUUUCAUUUUGAUUUUUUUCUCAACUUUUUGAAAAAUAACAUUUUUCCUUCUUCAGUAAAAAAUUGAAGUCUUUGUGGUUAAAAGCUAAGGUUUCAGUAAAGGUUUAAAAUAAAUAAAAAGUUUUGACAAUUCAAAAAACAGAACACAUAUCACUUUGUGGUUGAGCCGCAAUAGAAAGUAAGAAAGAAUUCCACCUUACCCAUAAGGAGGGAAGUAUUGUCAAAAAGAAAACAUCUUAAAAAACACACAGAAAACCCACCAUCACUACUUAAAAGAAGUAGAGAAGUCCAACAUUCUGAUUUUUAUACACCUACGUGACGUGAGCAUUCAAUAAUCAUCCUACACAUAUGUUGAUGUGAGCAUUCAAAAUCAUUAGAAUGAUUUAAUUGAAGACUCAACGUACGGACGUCUUUUUCACUUAGAUUCCCUUCCUGUACAAACUUGAAUCAGUUCCUCCACGACCCCAUCAAUCUCUUCAUCCUCUUUCUUGUUCACGUUGUCGCUUAUUUUCAAUGCCUUUUUUCUCACUCCCUCUCCAAAUUUCUCCACAACCACAUCUCUAAUCACCUUUGCGACCUCUUCUCUUUGCAAACUUCCUUCACCUGUUCUCUUAACCUCCACACCAACACCCACCUCCUCCACUAGUCUAGCGUUGAUCGGCUGGUCAAGAUGCAUAGGCAUGGCUAUAAUUGGAACACCAAACUUGAUGCUCUCCAACACUGAGUUCCAUCCGCAGUGACUCACAAACCCCCCAACACUAGAAUGCUGCAGUAUCUUUGCCUGUGGGGCCCAACCCUCCAUUAUCACUCCCUUCUCUCCCACCCUCUGUAAAAACCCUUCUGGUAACACCUCUUCAACCCUAGUACUUCUCUCCUCCUUAGAAAAUCUUAUAACCCAAAUGAAGCUCACUUUGCUAAGCUCUAAUCCGUGAGCUAUCUCUUCUAUUUGCUCCUUGGACAGAAAGUACUCACUGCCAAAGCAAACAUACACAACAGAAGACCUUUCCAUUUUGUUCAGCCAUUUCAUGAUCCAUGUUUCCUCAUCAACUUUUUGAUCCAUUGGCUCUUGAACAAGCGUGCCAACAGGCACGAUCUUCUUCCCCGUUAAAUCAGAGAGAUAAUCAAUAUAUUUUUCUUCAAUCUCGCUGGAUGUCUUGACCAAAAUGAUGUUACAAGAUCGAGCACUGCAUUGCUGAACACGGUCUCCGUCUUUGAUGCCAUUUGCUGAAGAUUCCAACAAAUUGUUGAACUUUUCAGCUUCGUAAUGUUGAAGAUAAAUCGAAGGAAAAGGAAACUUGACACUAGGGUUCUUGAGAUGUUGAAUACUAAAUGAAGUAAAGGCAGCACCCAUGGUGGUGAAUUCAAUGGAUGGAAAAUUUUGCAAUGAAGCUAGAGAGGGCGCCCAUGGUUGAAGAACAUCAUAUAUGAGCAAAUCUGGACUUAGGGUUUUGAGGAUGUUGGAGAAGUUGUUGCUGGACAUGCUGAAAGCCGUUUUGAGAGUGGACAUGAGAUGGGGAGGGAGGCCAUUGGUGGUGUGGUAGUGCGGUGGGAGUUCAGGCAAGUCAUCAUGUGGAAGAUGGAGUUCCACAAAUUCAAUGCAAUGAGAAUAUUUUUGGGAGAGUUUAGGCUUGAUGGAGCUGAGAUUUACAGGCGUGGAACAAAUAAAGAUGUGAAAAUUUCUCUUGGUGGUCAGCUUCUUGGCUAGCUCUAGGUAGGGAGAUAUAUGGCCGUGAGCUAGCCAUGGAAGCAAAAGAAUAGUAAGGCUUCUUUGGUCAGAGAAAACCAUAUUUUGUUUUCCUUUGACUUGUUUUCCUUUGACUCUUUUGCUUGAGGUUGCUCGAUUAUAGGCUUAUUGGUAGUUUGUUUGUGGCUAGCUCUAUGCAUAUAUAUAUAUAUAUAUAUAUAUAUAUAUAUAUAUAUAUACACACACAAAAACGCGUGAUGAUUGGAACAUGCACACGUAAGUUCCAGAGAGUGAUGAUUGGCCUAUGAUAAAGACUCGAAACAAGAAUAGUUUAAAUUUUCUUCUUUGUUUGGCUUGAUAUAAGACGAAUGCACCAAACAAACCGACUAAAUGCCGACACAAUAAUUAGGUACGUAAUAAUAUCAACUUUCAUUAUAUAGAUCUGAGAAACAAAAAGUUGAACUUUGAUGACAAGCGAUAUUAAGGAAGGGCACAAUCGAACUUAGGAUCUCGAAUGUUGAAGUACAUG
RNAcentral lists this long non-coding RNA (34046 nucleotides) under Prunus persica (peach). RNAcentral's name for it is "long non-coding RNA (PPER_LNC002427)". Lineage: Eukaryota; Viridiplantae; Streptophyta; Magnoliopsida; Rosales; Rosaceae. The record is from RNAcentral.